Long non-coding RNA from Suricata suricatta (meerkat), 301 nucleotides. RefSeq lists it as uncharacterized. Lineage: Eukaryota; Metazoa; Chordata; Mammalia; Carnivora; Herpestidae. The transcript has 3 exons. The record is from RefSeq and is a predicted model, not a curated record.
GUCUCUCCAUCUUUUAAUCCCUGAUGCUCCUACAAACAAAGUCACUGGCUGUCAUCAAUAUCAAGGUCCCCCUUCCACCCUCUCCUUUGUGAUCCUAGUUCCAUAAGGCUGGGAAGUACCUAGGAUGGAUAGCAGAUGCUAAGACUCGACCAAAGGCAGAAUGGGACUUCAAGUAAGGAGUGUGAUGAGAAAGGCCAUCAGCCACCAAAACCCGUAUCCAUCAGGACUGGAAAAGAAUAACUGCCACUUAGAGUGGAGAGGAAUCAUGGGACGGACUUCUGAAGAAGGCACUGUAUUUCCU